CACGUAGGGGCCAAGCGUUGUCCGGAUUCAUUGGGCGUAAAGAGCUCGUAGGCGGUUCAGUCAGUCGGGUGUGAAAUCUCCGGGCUCAACCCGGAGGGGCCACCCGAUACUGCUGUGACUCGAGUCCGGUAGGGGAGUGGGGAAUUCCUGGUGUAGCGGUGAAAUGCGUAGAUAUCAGGAGGAACACCGGUGGCGAAGGCGGCUUUCUGGACAGAUACCGACGCUGAGGCACGAAAGCUAGGGGAGCAAACAGG
This 254-nucleotide ribosomal RNA is filed under the name uncultured bacterium. RNAcentral describes it as "partial 16S ribosomal RNA". It matches the Rfam family "Bacterial small subunit ribosomal RNA", at positions 524 to 776 of the family's 1533-position model. The record is from RNAcentral.